AGUGAACGCUGGCGGUAGGCCUAACACAUGCAAGUCGAACGGCAGCACAGUAAGAGCUUGCUCUUACGGGUGGCGAGUGGCGGACGGGUGAGGAAUACAUCGGAAUCUACUUUUUCGUGGGGGAUAACGUAGGGAAACUUACGCUAAUACCGCAUACGACCUACGGGUGAAAGCAGGGGAUCUUCGGACCUUGCGCGAUUGAAUGAGCCGAUGUCGGAUUAGCUAGUUGGCGGGGUAAAGGCCCACCAAGGCGACGAUCCGUAGCUGGUCUGAGAGGAUGAUCAGCCACACUGGAACUGAGACACGGUACAGACUCCUACGGGAGGCAGCAGUGGGGAAUAUUGGCAAUGGGCGCAAGCCUGAUCCAGCCAUACCGCGUGGGUGAAGAAGGCCUUCGGGUUGUAAAGCCCUUUUGUUGGGAAAGAAAAGCAGCAGGUUAAUACCUCGCUGUUCUGACGGUACCCAAAGAAUAAGCACCGGCUAACUUCGUG
This 491-nucleotide ribosomal RNA is filed under the name uncultured bacterium. RNAcentral's name for it is "partial 16S ribosomal RNA". It matches the Rfam family "Bacterial small subunit ribosomal RNA", at positions 29 to 507 of the family's 1533-position model. The record is from RNAcentral.